Corapipo altera (White-ruffed manakin) is the source of this 1499-nucleotide long non-coding RNA. RefSeq lists it as uncharacterized. Lineage: Eukaryota; Metazoa; Chordata; Aves; Passeriformes; Pipridae. The transcript is spliced from 2 exons. The record is from RefSeq and is a predicted model, not a curated record.
CGGUUGCCACGAGUUACCGGAUGGAGGCUGGGAGGCCCCGCUCCCUGCCUGGCGGGCGCGGGGCGGAGCGGGGCGGACAGCGCGGCGGCCCCAGGAAAACGUCUGUUCAAAGAGGCGAACUCGUGAAUAGCAUCAGCAACAGAAUAUUUGGUCUGUCCAGACACACAAGCCUCCAUAUCUUCUGGGCUAAGCUGAGUCUGUAAGAAGAGGUGAAGUCUACUAUCUGAAAGCAACAAUGCGUCUUGUAGGAUCCUGGAAAAAGAAAAAAAGGCAAAUGUUUAUAUAUAAGCUGUGCACAGACACAUAUAUUCUAAACUGUUUUCUCAGAACAAAUUCUAAAUUAUGUCCUGCUUUUAAGUUUUCAGAUGAAUCCUAAAUCAGUAACAGAAGGUAACGAACAUAUUAAAAUGAUUAGGUGCGUGUUACUUUCUUAUUGCAUUAUUUGGAAUUUUAGGUGAGUAAAAACACGAAGCUAAUAGUUAGGCACAUCUGCUAUUAGAAUAACUUCAAGGACAUUUCUUCCAUUUAACCAUCUGUUAUUACCACAUGGAUCAAUUAAUGAAUUUUAGGCAAUUGGAAGCAUAUACUCUUACAAAAACUUGGUCUUUUUUGUUUGUUGUGUUUUUUUUCUUUUAAUAGCUAAACUUUUAUAAAAAUUACAAGUCAUCAAUUUGUUUGGUGGAAUAAAGAAGCAUGUAGAGAGACAGUGUGUAGACAGAACAGAUUUCAUACAUGUGCAACAUCAAGACUUUGGCAUACCUGUAAACAAUAGAGCCAACAUUAGACAAAAUUAUUUACUCUGUUACAAAUAUGCAUAUAUUUAAGCUAGAAUGAAAAUGUUAAUACUGAAUAUCGAUUUUAGUUUACUUGCAAACAGUUUUCAGGGACUCUUAAGUUUUAUUUCAUUCCAGCUAUUAUUUUAAAAAAUCCAUUUUAAUAUUUGGUUCAUAUAUAUUUUAAGUCUCCAAAUAAAUUCAGCACAGUGUAUUUACUUAACACACAUGAGAGUAAACAAAAUACAAUCCAUUCCAGUAACACAGAAAGUUGCAGAGUUACUUUUUCAAAGCCUCAGAAUUGAGGAUCACCGUCACUAUUUUGAAAAAAAAAAAAAAAUAUGCAACUCUUCUUCAACAUUUCUUUACAGAAGGAAUUCUUUAAUAUGUAAAUCCUAGAAUGAUUAACAAGAGACUUCUUUUAUAUGUGUAUGUAAUUUCACUCAUGUAAUAAAGACAUCAGAACCUAUGACCAUGCCAAAGAGUGCUCCACAGAAAAUUAUUAAAAUAUCUUUAAACAACUCAAAACUAUUAAGAGUCAGUCAAUAUUUACCCAUUUCUACCCAUUUAGGUAACAGUUUUUACCAAAAAAAUAUUACUGUGCAAUAGGAAACAAGAGAUGAUAUUAAUGUAAGAACUAGUAAGAGCAGAAAGAAAUAUUGCGUUUUAAAGAUACUCUGACUAAAAUAAAAAGUAUAGCUAAUUAGUUCCUUCGCUUGAACAAGA